ACAGAGGUCCCGAGCGUUGUUCGGAUUCAUUGGGCGUAAAGGGUGCGUAGGCGGCGGGGCAAGUCUGAUGUGAAAUCCCGGGGCUCAACCCCGGAACUGCCUUUGAAACUAGGUGACUAGAAUCUUGGAGAGGUCGGUGGAAUUCCGAGUGUAGAGGUGAAAUUCGUAGAUAUUCGGAAGAACACCAGUGGCGAAGGCGACUGACUGGACAAGUAUUGACGCUGAGGUGCGAAAGCGUGGGGAGCAAACAGGA
Molecule: ribosomal RNA, 253 nt
Filed under: uncultured prokaryote
Description: partial 16S ribosomal RNA
Rfam family: Bacterial small subunit ribosomal RNA
Source: RNAcentral